GACGAACGCUGGCGGCGUGCUUAACACAUGCAAGUCGAGCGGUAAGGCCCUUUCGGGGGUACACGAGCGGCGAACGGGUGAGUAACACGUGGGUGACCUGCCCUCAGCUCUGGGAUAAGCCUGGGAAACCGGGUCUAAUACCGGAUAUGACUCCAUGACGCAUGUUGUGGGGUGGAAAGCCUUGUGCGGCUGAGGAUGGGCCCGCGGCCUAUCAGCUUGUUGGUGGGGUGAUGGCCUACCAAGGCGACGACGGGUAGCCGGCCUGAGAGGGCGACCGGCCACACUGGGACUGAGACACGGCCCAGACUCCUACGGGAGGCAGCAGUGGGAAUCUUGCGCAAUGGGCGAAAGCCUGACGCAGCGACGCCGCGUGAGGGAUGACGGCCU
RNAcentral lists this ribosomal RNA (387 nucleotides) under uncultured bacterium. Its description in RNAcentral is "bacterial SSU rRNA". It matches the Rfam family "Bacterial small subunit ribosomal RNA", at positions 28 to 417 of the family's 1533-position model. The record is from RNAcentral.